Molecule: ribosomal RNA, 2136 nt
Filed under: Triticum aestivum (bread wheat)
Lineage: Eukaryota; Viridiplantae; Streptophyta; Magnoliopsida; Poales; Poaceae
Description: partial small subunit ribosomal RNA
Source: RNAcentral
AUGGGUACAACUGCCUCCAAGCAAGACUGCAACACCGCAUUGCAGCUCUGCAAGGGUCGUCUGAAACACAUUGAACAAGCAAUCGAUGCAAGGUAUGCCCUUUCGGCUGCUCAUCUGUCGUACGAGCAGUCUCUGCGCAAUGUCGGCGUUGCUUUGAGGCAGUUUGUGGAGUCACACCAUGAGGGUGAUCCGGACAAGUCCCCUCGCUCUUCGUCUGCUUUACCAUCCCCAUUGCCACCUGCAGACAAUUCUAAAAUUUCACCACUGAAAGUGCCCCGCCAUUCUGAUAUUAGUCGCUUGAGGUCAGAAGUAAGCCCAUCCUUGACAGUGACAGUCGACCCAAGUGAUGGUGAUGCUAGUUUUAUUAGAAAAGGGCAGCCCAUCCUGACUUCGGUUUCACCACCGUUGUCUCCGGAAUUUUGCCCCCCAUGGGAUUUCUUUGAACCAAAUGAUGUGAGUGAAAAUGUUGCCACCCAUGUCUCAGAGAACUGUGAGGCAACUUUGGAUGACUUUGGCCAUGUCGAUGGAAGGGGUCAAGCUUCCUCUAGUCAAAUAGCUGAGGUGCAAGAACAGUUGGGAACACAUGGAUGUAAAGACCUUGAUGACAAUUUUGACCAUCUUAAGUUGAAUCGCAAUGACUGUAGUGAAAUUGAGAUUGUUGAUACAGACUUACCAAAUGACUCAAACUUACACAAACGACCUGAUCAAGUGCAGACACAGAAUGUGGAGGGGCAGAAUCCUACAUGUAUUACUGACAAUAGAAAAAACGAAGCCCACUCUGUAGACAAGGUUAAUGUACCAAAAAUAUCUACUGAAAGGGAAGAAGAAAAGAGCAGUUCCAUCACCAGCGUAUCAAAAGAUUUUCUGUCUGAUGUGAAAGAACUCGAGCGCCAAUUUGCUCGGGCAGCUGAGUCUUGCCAUGGGGUCUCAAGGAUGCUUGAGACAAGGAAGAUUCGACUAAGCUUUUCAACCAAGAUAACAGGGAAACCGUCGUGUGCACUUUCUCUGUCAUCAUCCUUGCUCUGCUGCAAUGCUGGAAAUGUAGCUUCCCAUGAAUCAGAGCAGCAUGUCACGAAAGUGAUCGCUUGGAAUCGCUCACUUUCAUCACGAUCUUCAUCAUCUAAGAAUCCACCAUUUUCAGUUCAGAAGGAUGAUGACCCUCCAGAAAGCAUUAGCGAUUUUAUUGAAGAGUUUUGUAUGAUUUCAGGAAGUCAUGCAUCCUCUUUAGAUAGACUCUAUGCUUGGGAAAUAAAGAUUUAUGAUGAGUUAAAGAAUAUUGAAUCAAUCGAGCAGAUAUAUGACAAAAAAUGUGCUCAGCUAAGCCAUCAGUGUGCAAGGGAUGCGGAUGCCAGGCAAGUUGACAAAACUCGGGUUACUACCAAAGGGUUGUAUUCACGACUCGUGGUAGGAACUGAAGCACUAUACACAAUUUCAAAAACAAUUGAGAAGUUAAGAGAUGAAGAGUUGCAGCCCCAACUUCUUGAAUUACUACAAGGGCAGACGCGCAUGUGGAGGGUGCUGCAGGAAGUUCACCAAAUGCAGCAGAAAAUUACCUCUCCAACAGAUGCAAAGCUCCCAGCAAUGUCUCCUCCAAGCGAGUCGCGCGGACAUGCCUUGAUGAACCUCAUCACUGAACUGGGAGUCUUCUACUCCAGUUUGGCAGGCUGGGUUGAUGGUUACAAAAACUAUGUGGGUGGUCUGCACUCCUGGCUGCAGAAAUGUGUGGUGCAACCACGAGACCGGUCAGGGGAAGGAAACCUGACCCUCUCGCCUCGCCAACACCUUGCUCCACCCCUAUUUGUUCUCUUGGGGGAUUUGUCCGCAGGAAUGUCAUCGCUCCCGUCUGAAGAAUCAUGCGACUCCAUCAAGAACCUUGCAGCAGAUCUCAAGAAAAUGUACAAGCACCAGGCAGCAGAACAGAAGAAGGCAGCGAAGAAGAGAUCUUCAGACACUGGGGCAGAGGGUGAAAAAUCGUCAGAGACUGAAUCAGAUAUGGCAACCCUGCAGGGCGGUCUUACCGCAAUGUUCGAUCGACUCUCAAAGCUCUCAGGUGCCAUGGCCAGCCUGGCUGAAAAUGUGAAACGGGAGGCGGAGAUCGCCCGGGAGGCGUACGCCAUCGGUCGCUGCAUAGAGUAA